GAUGAACGCUAGCGGCAGGCUUAAUACAUGCAAGUCGUACGGGAUCCGAGGUAGCAAUACUUUGGUGAGAGUGGCGCACGGGUGCGUAACACGUAUGCAACCUACCUAUAACCGGGACACAACCUCGAGAAAUUGAGGCUAAUAUCCCAUAACACUGCGAGAUGGCAUCAUUUUGCAGUUAAAACUCCGGUGGUUAUAGAUGGGCAUGCGCGACAUUAGCUAGUUGGUGAGGUAACGGCCCACCAAGGCUACGAUGUCUAGGGGUUCUGAGAGGAUUAUCCCCCACACUGGUACUGAGACACGGACCAGACUCCUACGGGAGGCAGCAGUAAGGAAUAUUGGUCAAUGGGCGCAAGCCUGAACCAGCCAUGCCGCGUGAAGGAUGACGGCCCUAUGGGUUGUAAACUUCUUUUCCAGGGGUGAAUAAUUCCGAUGUAUCGGGAGAUGACGGUACCCUGGGAAUAAGCAUCGGCUAACUCCGUGCCAGCAGCCG
RNAcentral lists this ribosomal RNA (493 nucleotides) under uncultured bacterium. Its description in RNAcentral is "bacterial SSU rRNA". It matches the Rfam family "Bacterial small subunit ribosomal RNA", at positions 28 to 517 of the family's 1533-position model. The record is from RNAcentral.